UGAUGCUUUUGAACUGUGGUGUUGGAGAAGACCCUUGAGAGUCUCUUGGUCUGCAAGGAGAUCUAACCAGUCCAUCCUAAAGGAAAUCAGUCCUGAAUAUUCAUUGGAAGGACUGAUGCUGAAGUUCCAAUACUUUGGCCACCUAAUGCAAAGAACCCACUCAGUGGAAAAGACCCUCAUGCUGGAAAAGACUGAAGGCAGGAGGAGAAGGGGACAACAGAGGAUGAGAUGGUUGGAUUGCAUCACCGAUGGGAUGGAUAUGAGUUUUAUCAGGCUCUGGGAAUUGGUGAUGGAAGCCUGGGAAGCCAGGGAAGCCUGGUGUGCUGCAGUCCGUGGGGUUGCAAAGAGCUGGACACAACUGAGGAACUGAACUGAUUUUUCACAUCACUUCUCCCAGAACCUGCCUAAGAGACUGGAUUCCUGAGCACAGAGCAGAGUUUGAAAUGAAACCUGCCUGAAUCUGCCAGACCAGCAGUUAAAGCUACACUUGUGUUGUUUAAUGAUCUCUGUAUCUUGCUUCAAAAGGAAGAGAAAUCAAAUUAGAGAGAUGGUGAUGACUGAGCCCAAGGCCAAGAGUGUUCUUCCCCCACCCCUUCUAACUUCUGAUUUCUUCUUAUGCCUCAAGUCUCUGCUUAAAUAUCACCUCCUGGGAGUUCCCUGUUGGUCCAAUGACUAAGACUCUGUGCUCCCAAUGCAAGGGACCUGAGUUUGAUCCCAAGUCAGGAAACUAAGUCCCACAUGCUGCCACCAAAAGACCCCCCAUGCAGCGACUAAGACCCAGCAGCAGCCCCCCGCCCACAAAAAAAAAAGUUUGGGGAAAAAACCUCAGAAAGAUCUUCCCUGAACAGUCACCUUAAAGAUGUUCUCUAUUUUGACAAACUAGGCCUCUUGUUCAUGUCUUUCACGGCAUUUCUUAGUCUUGUCAUUUAUUGAUCAGUUUACAUGUUUUUGCCCAUGUUCUGCACUGGAAGACGAGGAAAUGUGGCAGGCCGAUGUCUCACAGAUGGUAGAUGAAGGAACAAAGAUUUGAACCCAGGGCCAUCUGAGCCCCAACUCAUGCUUUCAAUGACCUCCUGUCUCCACCACUGGAAUUAAUUUCUGCCCUCUGAGCUCACCCAGCAUGGGCGAAUCCUUUUUCAGAGAUUUGACAAUGACAUUGGUAGAGCUACCCAGAUCUGAAUUAAGAAGAUGGAUUCAAGGAGAUGGAAGAGUAGAGAGACUCUGCCUUUGUGGGAGGCAAAGAAAAAGGCAGAUGAGAAAAGCAGGCGAAUGAAGAGGAGGGAGCAGAUGACAGAGAAGUGAUGAGGAGAGUCAGCAGGACCUGGAGAAGGAACAGAUGGCGAUGGAGCGAUGUAAGAAGGAAGAAAUUAAGGCAGAAACAGGCUUGUGCUUAGAACUGGGGUUGCCAGAUCAGAUACCUACAGGGCCAGUCUUGCCCAGAAUCAGGGUCUUCUCCAGUGGGUCUUCACAUCAGGUGGCCAAAGUAUUGGAGCUUCAGCUUCAGCAUCAGUUCUUCCAAUGAAUAUUCAGGAUUGAUUUCCUUUAAGAUUGACUGGUUUGAUCUCUUUGCUGUCCAAGGAACUCUCAAGAACCUUCUCCAGCAUCACAAUUCAAAGAGAUAGACUCAGCUGAUAUUCUUCAGCCUUUUGCAUUUACCUUCAUGUUCUGCCUGGAACACAGAUGUGAUGGACAGAGGCACAGCAGCCUUCUUGAAAUCUUGGGAACAAAAAUUGACUUGAUAAGAAUGUUAAAGAAGAAAGAGCCUGGAUCCCUCCAGACUUCUUAUGUGAGAUGAAAAAAGUUCCAUAAAAAGUAUGCGCCGCUGUUAAUUUUCAUCUGUGCUACUUGCUGCCAAGCACAUUUCUGACUCAUACAAUAUAAUAUCUGUA
This is a long non-coding RNA of Bos taurus (domestic cattle), 1889 nucleotides long. NCBI's taxonomy places the organism in Eukaryota, Metazoa, Chordata, Mammalia, Artiodactyla, Bovidae. The record is from Ensembl.